This 53-nucleotide non-coding RNA is filed under the name Alexandrium minutum. The record is from RNAcentral. Lineage: Eukaryota; Dinophyceae; Gonyaulacales; Pyrocystaceae.
UUUUUUUUUUUUUUUUUUUUUUUUUUUUUUUUUUUUUCUGACAAGCCGCGUAC